UCCGUAGGUGAACCUGCGGAGGGAUCAUUACCGAGUUAUACAACUCAUCAACCCUGUGAACAUACCUAUAACGUUGCCUCGGCGGGAACAGACGGCCCCGUAACACGGGCCGCCCCCGCCAGAGGACCCCCUAACUCUGUUUCUAUAAUGUUUCUUCUGAGUAAACAAGCAAAUAAAUUAAAACUUUUCAACAACGGAUCUCUUGGCUCUGGCAUCGAUGAAGAACGCAGCGAAAUGCGAUAAGUAAUGUGAAUUGCAGAAUUCAGUGAAUCAUCGAAUCUUUGAACGCACAUUGCGCCCGCCAGUAUUCUGGCGGGCAUGCCUGUUCGAGCGUCAUUACAACCCUCAGGCCCCCGGGCCUGGCGUUGGGGAUCGGCGGAAGCCCCCUGCGGGCACAACGCCGUCCCCCAAAUACAGUGGCGGUCCCGCCGCAGCUUCCAUUGCGUAGUAGCUAACACCUCGCAACUGGAGAGCGGCGCGGCCACGCCGUAAAACACCCCAACUUCUGAAUGUUGACCUCGAAUCAGGUAGGAAUACCCGCUGAACUUAAGCAUAUCAAUAAGCGGAGGAA
RNAcentral lists this ribosomal RNA (571 nucleotides) under Fusarium sp. BAB-4699. RNAcentral's name for it is "eukaryotic LSU rRNA". The stretch from base 183 to 336 matches the Rfam family "5.8S ribosomal RNA". The record is from RNAcentral. Lineage: Eukaryota; Fungi; Ascomycota; Sordariomycetes; Hypocreales; Nectriaceae.